This is a long non-coding RNA of Canis lupus familiaris (dog), 2138 nucleotides long. RefSeq lists it as uncharacterized. The record is from RefSeq and is a predicted model, not a curated record. NCBI's taxonomy places the organism in Eukaryota, Metazoa, Chordata, Mammalia, Carnivora, Canidae. The transcript has 3 exons.
GGUUGGCUGGUCCCAUUGCCUAUCACGAGGUGGGCGGAGAGUCGGGCGGGGAGCGUCUCCGCCCCCCACCGGAGACUUGCCGCUAUCUUCAGGUUUGCCUGAGAGGGCGAGUUACCGGGAAAGGAGCAUCACAAUGGCAGCGCGCAUGCGCGCAGGAAUUCUGGGCCUUGUAGUUCCAGCCGCGGCCGCAGCCGCAACUGCCUGCCGGUCCGGAGCCGAGGAGCUGAGCUCCCGAGGCUCGUGCUGGGCGCACGCUGCUGUCCUCUGAGCUCAGUAGUUCGCUUGCUUAGAGGGGCGUGGUUGUGACCCCAGGAUUGGGUUUUGUGGAAGGAAGUCGGAAAGGCGUUGUCGCGUUAUGAAUUCACACACUGAGACAGUCACGAAGAAGGGCACCGAAUCGUGAGGCCCUACCAUGCCACCUCCUCAGAGCCAGAGCUGCCAGGAUCUGACACGUUGGCGCUGUCCCCAGAACCGCCCAACACGAACUCAGCAUCCCCGGCCGGCCCUGGCGAGAGGCCUGAAGGUUUAAAGAGGAAAGGAGACCGAAACCUCCAGAAGAGAAUGCCAGCCUGGAGCCCCAGGUAUCCUUGACGGUUCUCGCAACCCAUGAAGAAUGAGAGUUCCUUUCCUUUUUCAAGCACCACCAGCAAAGGGUUCAGUCAAUGGGCAUCCCCUGCGAGGACCAGUACGGAAAUCUAAGCAAGAGAAGGCGCAGUCCCUCGAAGACUCCAGGAAAAGCGAGGCGAGCAGAGCAAUGAGGUUGUGUGGGAUAAGCCUGUACAUUCAGUGUUUUGACUCCAGCUCUUUGAUGAAGAGGAAACCUUAAGAUUAAACCCCUCCCAUCCUCACCCACCAACUUAUAGAAGAAAAAUCCCAAAGAGGUUUAACAAUUUUUCGAGGCUAUGAAGCUAAUUCCUGGCAGAACCAAACCUCAAACUUACCUCUGUGGCCGGUGCUUUUUUUUUUUUUUUUUCUCCACUUAAUAAUCAAAAGGACUCCCAGGAGUCUGCCAUGGACUGAAAAUAUGCAAUGACUUAUGAGCUUCAUUUUACUUUAAAUCUUUCUUCACUCAAGUGACAUCAUGAUUAAAGCUGAUUAAUUGAGAGCAUGGAAAGGUUAAAUAUAAAUCCUAUAUUCAAUCUCUGAACUGUUAUAGAAACUGUUUCUUUUUGCUCAGGAAAUGCCACAGCCUCUCCAUAUUCUUUAAAAAAAAAACAGCAGACACCUCGACUGUCAUGUCUAGAUCUUGGAUAAAAAGCAGAACAAAGUGUACAUUAAAGGCAAUUGAUGAUGCAGCUCCUCUUGUUCUGUUCAAACUUAAAGAAGUUGCCAAAUUGUUUCCACUGAUUAAAACCACCAGUUGUUUUUCCCAUUACUUUGUCUCACCGAAUAUAGUUCACAAUAUUGGCUGGGCACGUAAUUUGAAUUGGAAGCGAUUAGGGUUUCUGCAAAUGCUUUUCCUUAAAAUUAAAGAAAUUUAUAUGGGAAAAAGUCCAGAUUCAUUGAAAUUAUGCCUGGCAAUAUUUCAAAUAGCGAUUCUCUGUUCAAAUAGAAUAUUUUUCACUCAGCAAGUACAGUGUUCUCUUCAAGCUACCCAGAUAUAAUCUCUGCUAUCAUGGAACCAAUGUCUUUCAUGGAUGAAAUCCACAAGGAAGAGCACACAGAGCAGAAAGACCAUUUCUUAUCAACACACUGUCCUACCAUAACAGCCUCCAGAUUGGAUUCAGAUUCUGUAAGUUCAUUAUGAAGCUUCCAGAACACUCACUACUCACUUAAGGAAAAUGCAGACUCCAGCUCCACAGUGAAGUGCAUGAAAAAUGCAAGCUCCGACCUCUUCCCCAUUCACAAUUUCUUGGCAGCAAAUGUUCUGAGAACAUAGUAUAGCUCCACAGAAAAGACACAGAACAGGGUGCUUUCGCUCAUCAUCUGCAGACCGUGGGCACCUCAAAGGGUAAGAAAACAUUCAGUAUGGUGGAGAAACAAUAAAAACAUGAUAUAUCCAGUUAGCGAUGAAUUGUGUUCAUCACUGGCUGGCUGCUUUGCAGCAAAGAAUGCUCUUAAAACACAAGAAAACAGGAAUCCCUGGGUGGCGUAGUGGUUUAACGCCUGCCUUUGGUCCAGGGCGUGAUCCUAGAGAC